UACAGAGGUCUCAAGCGUUGUUCGGAUUUAUUGGGCGUAAAGGGCGCGCAGGCGGCCACGCACGUCCGUUGUGAAAUCGCCCGGCUCAACUGGGCGGGGUCGGCGGAUACGGCGUGGCUGGAGCAAGCUAGGGGGUAGUGGAAUUCCCGGUGUAGUGGUGGAAUGCGUAGAUAUCGGGAGGAACACCAGUGGCGAAGGCGGCUACCUGGGGCUUUGCUGACGCUGAGGCGCGAAAGCGUGGGGAGCGAUCCGG
RNAcentral lists this ribosomal RNA (253 nucleotides) under uncultured bacterium. Its description in RNAcentral is "partial 16S ribosomal RNA". It matches the Rfam family "Bacterial small subunit ribosomal RNA", at positions 524 to 776 of the family's 1533-position model. The record is from RNAcentral.